UACGAAGGGGGCUAGCGUUGUUCGGAAUCACUGGGCGUAAAGCGCACGUAGGCGGAUGUGCCAGUCAGGGGUGAAAUCCCGGAGCUCAACUUCGGAACUGCCUCUGAUACAGCACGUCUUGAGUCCGGAAGAGGUGGGUGGAAUUCCUAGUGUAGAGGUGAAAUUCGUAGAUAUUAGGAAGAACACCAGUGGCGAAGGCGGCCCACUGGUCCGGUACUGACGCUGAGGUGCGAAAGCGUGGGGAGCAAACAGG
This 253-nucleotide ribosomal RNA is filed under the name uncultured bacterium. Its description in RNAcentral is "partial 16S ribosomal RNA". It matches the Rfam family "Bacterial small subunit ribosomal RNA", at positions 524 to 776 of the family's 1533-position model. The record is from RNAcentral.